Long non-coding RNA from Magnolia sinica, 649 nucleotides. RefSeq lists it as uncharacterized. The record is from RefSeq and is a predicted model, not a curated record. The transcript has 3 exons. NCBI's taxonomy places the organism in Eukaryota, Viridiplantae, Streptophyta, Magnoliopsida, Magnoliales, Magnoliaceae.
UUGCUCGUGGUCAAGUACACGAAGUUAAUCCAAAUGCAGUUGUCCAUUGCGAACCAUUAGAGGAGGGAGCUUUUGUUAUUAUCCUGAGUAAGAUUAUACAUCCUGACACUCAUUUGUGGAAAGAAGAUGGGUUCGCAUCUACACUUGGAGAGGCCGGUCUGGGAUCAUUUGUGCAAUGGGGCAAGGAAUCUUUGAGAUUUCGAUAAUUUGAACAAAUUUAGUACUCUAUAAUUGAACUUGGUGUGGAUGCUUUUUUUAGUUAAUUUAUAUGAUGUUUCACUUGUUUUUUUCCUUAAUUUUGAACUAAUUUGGCACUUUAUAGUUCAACAUAUUGAUGGUCUACAUGUUUUUUUUUAGUUACUCUAUAUGUUGUUUGGUUUGGUUUUUCUAAUUUUGAAUGAAUUUUAUACUCCAUAUUUAAACAUAUUAGACUCCAUUUGGUCGUCACAAACCAAAUGGAGCCUAAGCCCCUUUUUAACUAUGCCAAUGCAACUCCUUGCAUUGUCGGCCCCAUGCCCGGGUAAAGGAGGAGGGAGAAUGGGAGUUGUGCUGAUGUAUUUUUAGCCCCACAGAUCAAAGCUGCCACUACAAGGUUCAAUAUUGAAAUGUGAUUAUCAGAAGCAAUGGGCCAUCAUUGAAAGAUUACCCU